CGGGUGAGUAAUGCGUGACCAACCUCGCCCCAUGCUCCAGAAUAGCUCUUGGAAACGGGUGGAAUGCUGGAUGCUCCAACUUGACGCAUGUCUUGUUGGGAAAGUGUUUAGUGGCAUGGGAUGGGGUCGCGUCCUAUCAGCUUGUAGGCGGGGUAAUGGCCCACCUAGGCUUCGACAGGUAGCCGGCCUGAGAGGGCGGACGGCCACAUUGGGACUGAGAUACGGCCCAGACUCCUACGGGAGGCAGCAGCG
This 252-nucleotide ribosomal RNA is filed under the name uncultured Gardnerella sp. Its description in RNAcentral is "partial 16S ribosomal RNA". It matches the Rfam family "Bacterial small subunit ribosomal RNA", at positions 103 to 356 of the family's 1533-position model. The record is from RNAcentral. Lineage: Bacteria; Bacillati; Actinomycetota; Actinomycetes; Bifidobacteriales; Bifidobacteriaceae.